RNAcentral lists this ribosomal RNA (508 nucleotides) under uncultured bacterium. Its description in RNAcentral is "partial 16S ribosomal RNA". It matches the Rfam family "Bacterial small subunit ribosomal RNA", at positions 28 to 507 of the family's 1533-position model. The record is from RNAcentral.
GACGAACGCUGACGGCGUGCCUAAUACAUGCAAGUCGAACGCUUCUUUCCUCCCGAGUGCUUGCACUCAAUUGGAAAGAGGAGUGGCGGACGGGUGAGUAACACGUGGGUAACCUACCCAUCAGAGGGGGAUAACACUUGGAAACAGGUGCUAAUACCGCAUAACAGUUUAUGCCGCAUGGCAUAAGAGUGAAAGGCGCUUUCGGGUGUCGUUGAUGGAUGGACCCGCGGUGCAUUAGCUAGUUGGUGAGGUAACGGCUCACCAAGGCCACGAUGCAUAGCCGACCUGAGAGGGUGAUCGGCCACACUGGGACUGAGACACGGCCCAGACUCCUACGGGAGGCAGCAGUAGGGAAUCUUCGGCAAUGGACGAAAGUCUGACCGAGCAACGCCGCGUGAGUGAAGAAGGUUUUCGGAUCGUAAAACUCUGUUGUUAGAGAAGAACAAGGACGUUAGUAACUGAACGUCCCCUGACGGUAUCUAACCAGAAAGCCACGGCUAACUACGUG